GACGAACGCUGGCGGCGUGCUUAACACAUGCAAGUCGAACGAAACAGCCCUGCCUUUGUGGCGUGCUCGAGUGCCGAACGGGUAGGUAACCCGAGAGAAACCUGCCUUUGACUUUGGGUUAACUUCAGGAACCUGGGCCAAUUACCGGAUAGGCGCUCCUGCUGCAUGGUGGGGGUUGGAAAGUUUCGGCGGUUGGGGAUGGACUCGCCGCUUGUUUGCUUGGUGGUGGGGUAGUGGCCUACCAAGGCCUGGACUGGUAGCCGGCCUGAGAAGGUGACAGGCCACAUUGGGACCGGGAUACGGCCCGAACCCGUACGGAGGAAAACAGUGGGGAAUAUUGCACAAUGGGCGGAAACCGGAGGCAGCAACGCCGCGUGCGGGUUGACGGCCUCCGGUUUGUAGACCGCAUUCGCCUGUGACGAAGCGUGAGUGACGGUAAUGGGUAAAGAAGCACCGGCUAACUACGUG
RNAcentral lists this ribosomal RNA (468 nucleotides) under uncultured bacterium. Its description in RNAcentral is "partial 16S ribosomal RNA". It matches the Rfam family "Bacterial small subunit ribosomal RNA", at positions 28 to 507 of the family's 1533-position model. The record is from RNAcentral.